ACAUACAUGCCAACGGUGGCGCCAUAGAAUUAACGUACAACGUGCAACAAGGAAUAGGCUGUUGUUCUCCGUCUUGUAGUUUGAAAACUUAGAAAUUGUUCCUUGUUUGAGCCAGUUUUAGGUGUGGGUCUCCAGGGUUAAUGUUACUUCACACAGCUUGGUCUUGGACGACUGAACUCGAUCACCGAGAACGAAAGCCAUUUUUCUAAUCAACAAGCUUCAAAGUACUACUGUUACUGCGACCUCGAGACACAGAAAUGGAUGGCAAAGGUGGCAAGAGUGCUAGUCGUGAGGCGCCGAAGGGUCAACAGGGGGGAGCUGCAGAAGCGGCUCGGGGAAGAGGAAGUGCAGCCAGAAGCCGCCAUGUCGAACGCCACGUUA
This is a long non-coding RNA of Branchiostoma belcheri (Belcher's lancelet), 381 nucleotides long. RefSeq lists it as uncharacterized. The transcript has 4 exons. The record is from RefSeq and is a predicted model, not a curated record. Lineage: Eukaryota; Metazoa; Chordata; Leptocardii; Amphioxiformes; Branchiostomatidae.